UACGGAAGGCAGCAGUGGGGAAUAUUGCACAAUGGGCGCAAGCCUGAUGCAGCCAUGCCGCGUGUAUGAAGAAGGCCUUCGGGUUGUAAAGUACUUUCAGUCGUGAGGAAGGUGUUAAGGUUAAUAACCUUAGCAAUUGACGUUAGCGACAGAAGAAGCACCGGCUAACUCCGUGCCAGCAGCCGCGGUAAUACGGAGGGUGCGAGCGUUAAUCGGAAUUACUGGGCGUAAAGGGCACGCAGGCGGUUAAUUAAGUUGGAUGUGAAAUCCCCGGGCUUAACCUGGGAAUGGCAUUCAAGACUGGUUAGCUAGAGUCUUGUAGAGGGGGUAGAAUUCCAUGUGUAGCGGUGAAAUGCGUAGAGAUGUGGAGGAAUACCGGUGGCGAAGGCGGCCCCUGGACAAAGACUGACGCUCAUGUGCGAAAGCUGGGGAGCAAAC
Molecule: ribosomal RNA, 438 nt
Filed under: uncultured bacterium
Lineage: Bacteria
Description: bacterial SSU rRNA
Rfam family: Bacterial small subunit ribosomal RNA
Source: RNAcentral